CUUCCUUCGGGAAGUGGAUUAGCGGCGGACGGGUGAGUAACACGUGGGUAACCUGCCUCAAAGUGGGGGAUAGCCUUCCGAAAGGAAGAUUAAUACCGCAUAACAUAAGAGAAUCGCAUGAUUUUCUUAUCAAAGAUUUAUUGCUUUGAGAUGGACCCGCGGCGCAUUAGCUAGUUGGUAAGGUAACGGCUUACCAAGGCAACGAUGCGUAGCCGACCUGAGAGGGUGAUCGGCCACAUUGGAACUGAGACACGGUCCAGACUCCUACGGGAGGCAGCAGUGGGGAAUAUUGCGCAAUGGGGGAAACCCUGACGCAGCAACGCCGCGUGGGUGAUGAAGGUCUUCGGAUUGUAAAGCCCUGUUUUCUGGGACGAUAAUGACGGUACCAGAGGAGGAAGCCACGGCUAACUACGUGCCAGCAGCCGCGGUAAUACGUAGGUGGCGAGCGUUGUCCGGAUUUACUGGGCGUAAAGGGUGCGUAGGCGGAUGUUUAAGUGGGAUGUGAAAUCCCCGGGCUUAACCUGGGGGCUGCAUUCCAAACUGGAUAUCUAGAGUGCAGGAGAGGAAAGCGGAAUUCCUAGUGUAGCGGUGAAAUGCGUAGAGAUUAGGAAGAACACCAGUGGCGAAGGCGGCUUUCUGGACUGUAACUGACGCUGAGGCACGAAAGCGUGGGUAGCAAACAGGAUUAGAUACCCUGGUAGUCCACGCCGUAAACGAUGGAUACUA
RNAcentral lists this ribosomal RNA (726 nucleotides) under bacterium enrichment culture. RNAcentral's name for it is "bacterial SSU rRNA". It matches the Rfam family "Bacterial small subunit ribosomal RNA", at positions 74 to 818 of the family's 1533-position model. The record is from RNAcentral.